RNAcentral lists this ribosomal RNA (265 nucleotides) under uncultured archaeon. RNAcentral describes it as "partial 16S ribosomal RNA". It matches the Rfam family "Archaeal small subunit ribosomal RNA", at positions 717 to 982 of the family's 1478-position model. The record is from RNAcentral.
ACACGACUACAUUAGAUACCCCUGUAGUCCUAGCCGUAAACGAUACUCGCUAGGUGUCGGCCACGGUGCGACCGUUGUCGGUGCCGUAGGGAAGCCGUGAAGCGAGCCACCUGGGAAGUACGGCCGCAAGGCUGAAACUUAAAGGAAUUGGCGGGGGAGCACAACAACGGGUGGAGCUUGCGGUUUAAUUGAAUUCAACGCCGGAAAUCUUACCGGGACCGACAGCAACAUGAAGGCCAAGCUGAAGACUUUGCCGGAUUAGCUG